UACGUAGGGGGCAAGCGUUGUCCGGAUUCAUUGGGCGUAAAGAGCUUGUAGGCGGCCAGGUAGGUCGGUUGUGAAAACUGGAGGCUCAACCUUCAGAGGUCGACCGAAACCAUCUGGCUAGAGUCCGGGAGAGGAGAGUGGAAUUCCUGGUGUAGCGGUGAAAUGCGCAGAUAUCAGGAAGAACACCCGUGGCGAAAGCGGCUCUCUGGAACGGUACUGACGCUGAGGCGCGAAAGCGUGGGGAGCGAACAGG
Molecule: ribosomal RNA, 253 nt
Filed under: uncultured bacterium
Lineage: Bacteria
Description: partial 16S ribosomal RNA
Rfam family: Bacterial small subunit ribosomal RNA
Source: RNAcentral